Molecule: ribosomal RNA, 683 nt
Filed under: uncultured bacterium
Lineage: Bacteria
Description: bacterial SSU rRNA
Rfam family: Bacterial small subunit ribosomal RNA
Source: RNAcentral
AGUGCCAGCAGCCGCGGUAAUACGGAGGAUCCAAGCGUUAUCCGGAAUCAUUGGGUUUAAAGGGUCCGUAGGUGGACAAAUAAGUCAGAGGUGAAAUCCUGCAGCUCAACUGUAGAACUGCCUUUGAUACUGUUUGUCUUGAGUUAUUAUGAAGUGGUUAGAAUGUGUAGUGUAGCGGUGAAAUGCAUAGAUAUUACACAGAAUACCGAUUGCGAAGGCAGAUCACUAAUAAUUAACUGACACUGAGGGACGAAAGCGUGGGUAGCGAACAGGAUUAGAUACCCUGGUAGUCCACGCCGUAAACGAUGGUCACUAGCUGUUUGGACUUCGGUCUGAGUGGCUAAGCGAAAGUGAUAAGUGACCCACCUGGGGAGUACGUUCGCAAGAAUGAAACUCAAAGGAAUUGACGGGGGCCCGCACAAGCGGGUGGAGCAUGUGGUUUAAUUCGAUGAUACGCGAGGGAACCUUACCAGGGCUUAAAUGUUAGGGUGACAGGUCUAGAAAUAGAUUUUUCUUCGGGACACUUAACAAGGUGCUGCAUGUUUGUCGUCAGCUCGUGCCGUGAGGUGUCAGGUUAAGUCUAUAACGAGCGCAACCCCCUGUGUUAGUUGCCAGCGAGUAUGUCGGAACUCUAGCAAGACUGCCAGUGCAAACUUGUGAAGGAAGGGUGGGGAAUGACGUCA